UCCUUGGUGGUCCAGUGGCUAAGACUCUACGCUCCAGAUGCGGGCGGUCCGGGUUCAAUCCCUGGUCAGGGAA
RNAcentral lists this transfer RNA (73 nucleotides) under Bos taurus (domestic cattle). It matches the Rfam family "tRNA". Rfam says of the family: Transfer RNA (tRNA) molecules are approximately 80 nucleotides in length. Their secondary structure includes four short double-helical elements and three loops (D, anti-codon, and T loops). Further hydrogen bonds mediate the characteristic L-shaped molecular structure. tRNAs have two regions of fundamental functional importance: the anti-codon, which is responsible for specific mRNA codon recognition, and the 3' end, to which the tRNAs corresponding amino acid is attached (by aminoacyl-tRNA synthetases). tRNAs cope with the degeneracy of the genetic code in two manners: having more than one tRNA (with a specific anti-codon) for a particular amino acid; and 'wobble' base-pairing, i.e. permitting non-standard base-pairing at the 3rd anti-codon position. The record is from Rfam by way of RNAcentral. Lineage: Eukaryota; Metazoa; Chordata; Mammalia; Artiodactyla; Bovidae. RNAcentral also lists the same sequence under 3 other names.